This 497-nucleotide ribosomal RNA is filed under the name uncultured bacterium. RNAcentral describes it as "partial 16S ribosomal RNA". It matches the Rfam family "Bacterial small subunit ribosomal RNA", at positions 28 to 507 of the family's 1533-position model. The record is from RNAcentral.
GAUGAACGCUGGCGGCGUGCCUAAUACAUGCAAGUCGAGCGAACGGACGAGAAGCUUGCUUCUCUGAUGUUAGCGGCGGACGGGUGAGUCACACGUGGAUAACCUACCUAUUAGACUGGGAUAACUUCGGGAGACCCGAGCUAAUACCGGAUACUAUUUUGAACCGCAUGGUUCAAAAGUGAAAGACGGUCUUGCUGUCACUUAUAGCUGGAUCCGCGCUGCAUUAGCUAGUUGGUAAGGUAACGGCUUCCCAAGGCAACGAUGCAUAGCCGACCUGAGAGGGUGAAGGGCCACAGUGGAACUGAGCGACGGUCCAGACACCUAGGGGAGGCAGCGGUAGGGAAUCGUCCGAGAUGGGCGAAAGCCUGAAGGAGCAACGCCGCGGGGGUGAUGAAGGGCUUCGGAUCGUAAAACUCUGUUAGUAGGGAAGAACAUAUGUGUAAGUAACUGUGCACAUCUUGACGGUACCUAAUCAGAAAGCCACGGCUAACUACGUG